RNAcentral lists this ribosomal RNA (508 nucleotides) under uncultured Acidobacteriota bacterium. RNAcentral's name for it is "bacterial SSU rRNA". It matches the Rfam family "Bacterial small subunit ribosomal RNA", at positions 399 to 896 of the family's 1533-position model. Lineage: Bacteria; Pseudomonadati; Acidobacteriota. The record is from RNAcentral.
GCGUGGGGGAUGAAGGUCUUCGGAUUGUAAACCCCUGUCGAGCGGGACGAAUGGCCCGCGACCUAACACGUCGCGGGAGUGACGGUACCGCUAAAGGAAGCCACGGCUAACUCUGUGCCAGCAGGCCGCGGUAAUACAGAGGUGGCAAGCGUUGUUCGGAAUUACUGGGCGUAAAGGGCGCGUAGGCGGCCUUCUAAGUCAGACGUGAAAUCCCCCGGCUCAACCUGGGAACUGCGUCUGAUACUGGAAGGCUUGAAUGCGGGAGAGGGAUGCAGAAUUCCAGGUGUAGCGGUGAAAUGCGUAGAUAUCUGGAGGAAUACCGGUGGCGAAGGCGGCAUCCUGGACCGACAUUGACGCUGAGGCGCGAAAGCUAGGGUAGCAAACGGGAUUAGAUACCCCGGUAGUCCUAGCCCUAAACGAUGAGUGCUUGGUGUGGCGGGUAUCGAUCCCUGCCGUGCCGAAGCUAACGCAUUAAGCACUCCGCCUGGGGAGUACGGUCGCAAGGCUG